ACGAGUGUCAGUGAUGAUCUUGUUUAGGCCUUCCAGCUUCCUGGUACACACGAUUUUAUCCAUUGAUCAAUCUCCCAGUCACUGUCAGUUUCUUUACCCACUGUAUAGGCGUGAUCUGAAUCUAGCAUUCCGGCACUGACAAAGGUGAACGACGGACGACGUCCUCUGUUCUGCUCAGACGAGUCUUGACCUGGAUGAUAACCAAUCCCAAACAUAUCCGCCUUUACCACAAUGCCUACGAUCUGUCCCCAGCCUGGGAUCCCUCCAUUUCUC
Molecule: long non-coding RNA, 273 nt
Filed under: Lathyrus oleraceus (garden pea)
Lineage: Eukaryota; Viridiplantae; Streptophyta; Magnoliopsida; Fabales; Fabaceae
Description: Pisum sativum (pea) long non-coding RNA (PSAT_LNC026581)
Source: RNAcentral